Molecule: ribosomal RNA, 520 nt
Filed under: uncultured bacterium
Lineage: Bacteria
Description: bacterial SSU rRNA
Rfam family: Bacterial small subunit ribosomal RNA
Source: RNAcentral
UACGGGAGGCAGCAGUGGGGAAUAUUGGACAAUGGACCGAGAGUCUGAUCCAGCAAUUCUGUGUGCACGAUGAAGUUUUUCGGAAUGUAAAGUGCUUUCAGUUGGGAAGAAAGAAAUGACGGUACCAACAGAAGAAGUGACGGCUAAAUACGUGCCAGCAGCCGCGGUAAUACGUAUGUCACGAGCGUUAUCCGGAUUUAUUGGGCGUAAAGCGCGUCUAGGUGGUUAUGUAAGUCUGAUGUGAAAAUGCAGGGCUCAACUCUGUAUUGCGUUGGAAACUGUAUAACUAGAGUACUGGAGAGGUAAGCGGAACUACAAGUGUAGAGGUGAAAUUCGUAGAUAUUUGUAGGAAUGCCGAUGGGGAAGCCAGCUUACUGGACAGAUACUGACGCUAAAGCGCGAAAGCGUGGGUAGCAAACAGGAUUAGAUACCCUGGUAGUCCACGCUGUAAACGAUGAUUACUAGGUGUUGGGGGUCGAACCUCAGCGCCCAAGCAAACGCGAUAAGUAAUCCGCCUGGG